GCCAGUGUGGUGCAGCGGUUAGCGCAUCUGCCUGAUAAGCAGGAGACCCGGGUUUGAAUCCCAGCACUGAUA
Non-coding RNA from Schistocerca piceifrons (Central American locust), 72 nucleotides. The record is from the annotation of a RefSeq genome assembly. NCBI's taxonomy places the organism in Eukaryota, Metazoa, Arthropoda, Insecta, Orthoptera, Acrididae.